Molecule: ribosomal RNA, 440 nt
Filed under: uncultured bacterium
Lineage: Bacteria
Description: partial 16S ribosomal RNA
Rfam family: Bacterial small subunit ribosomal RNA
Source: RNAcentral
CUACGGGCUGCUGCAGUGGGGAAUAUUGCACAAUGGGCGCAAGCCUGAUGCAGCAACGCCGCGUGAACGAAGAAGGUUUUCGGAUCGUAAAGUUCUUUUCUUGGGGAAGAAACCAUGACGGUACCCAAGGAAUAAGCACCGGCUAACUACGUGCCAGCAGCCGCGGUAAUACGUAGGGUGCAAGCGUUAUCCGGAAUCACUGGGCGUAAAGGGUGCGUAGGCGGUUUUACAAGUCAGAAGUGAAAGGCAAUGGCUCAACCAUUGUAAGCUUUUGAAACCGUAAGACUUGAAUGCAGGAGAGGUAAGUGGAAUUCCUAGUGUAGCGGUGAAAUGCGUAGAUAUUAGGAGGAACACCAGUGGCGAAGGCGACUUACUGGACUGUUAUUGACGCUGAGGCACGAAAGCGUGGGGAGCGAACAGGAUUAGAUACCCCCGUAGUC